Molecule: long non-coding RNA, 497 nt
Filed under: Canis lupus familiaris (dog)
Lineage: Eukaryota; Metazoa; Chordata; Mammalia; Carnivora; Canidae
Description: lncRNA (ENSCAFG00845020508.1)
Source: RNAcentral
GGAAAGGGUGGUAUGUAGGACAACUUUUCAAACAAGGAGACAGAACCAUGUGUGCAUCAUGAAAUCAAUUUGCCACUUGUCAGCCUAAGAUUCCCCAUCUAUUGUGCUAUUUCAUCUGAACAGAAGGAAACAUCUCAGCCAAAGAUAAAGUAUGAAGGGAGACUGGGAGCUGAGAUCAAAAGUUCCAAAAGUAUCCAAAUCUCAUGAUUAGAGAUCUAAAGGAUUCCUAAAGUCACUUAAGCCCUCCUCCCAGAUGCCAUCCGCUGGGCCCAGGCCAUGAAUCUUCUCAGAAUGUUAUCCUAAAGGCCUCCUGUGAGAAUGGGGAAAAAAAAGAGCAUGAGUUGUUCCUCAUCCUCAAGAAGAGCUCCCACUAUCACACAGCCUGCUGGCCGCGUGCUGUUCUGCAUGGGGCACUCUGCCAGGUAAUUCUCAAAAACAAUGAAAAUUGGCAAACCACUUGCCUAACUUAUAAGGACACUGCCACUUGUAACAUCUAA